GGAAUCGCCUAUUUCAAAUUAUUGACUUCAAAUCCGGAGUGGGGGGCUAGACCUCUCCCAGGCGGGUUCGAUUCCAUGCACUUCCGCCA
RNAcentral lists this transfer RNA (89 nucleotides) under Syntrophales bacterium. RNAcentral's name for it is "tRNA-Sec". The record is from RNAcentral. Lineage: Bacteria; Pseudomonadati; Thermodesulfobacteriota; Syntrophia; Syntrophales.